UUGAUAGGUUUGCUUGUUCACUCAGAAGAGAAUUCUCGGCGGAGACAGUUGGGUUUGGGGGUCCCCCGGCGGCACGCCUGGCCUCCGGCGCCGCGCGACGACCGCCCCCCCCGCGGAGGGGGAGGGGAGGCCGCGCGGCGCCGGGACGGUCCGCCGAAGCAACGUUCAGGUAUGUUCACAGGGGGUUUGGGAGUUGAAAACUCGGUAAUGAUCCCUCCGCUGGUUCACCAACGGAGA
RNAcentral lists this unclassified non-coding RNA (237 nucleotides) under uncultured fungus. RNAcentral's name for it is "sequence contains ITS1". The record is from RNAcentral. Lineage: Eukaryota; Fungi.